UCCCGGUUGGCCCGGGCAGUCUUGUUUGAAAAAUACAACAAACAACAAGGGUUGCGCUCGUUGCGGGACUUAACCCAACAUCUCACGACACGAGCUGACGACGGCCAUGCAACAUCUGUCACCUAUCCAACUAAAUGACGGCCUAGUUUCUUAGGCCUACGAUAGGGAUGUCAAGCCUCGGUAAGGUUCUUCGCGUAGCAUCGAAUUAAACCACAUCCUCCACUGCUUGUGCGGGUCCCCGUCAAUUCCUUUGAGUUUUAGCCUUGCGGCCGUACUCCCCAGGCGGCACACUUAACGCGUUAGCUUCCCAGCCCAAAGGGUCGAUACUUCAGACUAGUAGUGUGCAUCGUUUACGGCGUGGACUAC
This 366-nucleotide unclassified non-coding RNA is filed under the name uncultured bacterium. Its description in RNAcentral is "contains 16S-23S intergenic spacer region". The record is from RNAcentral.